RNAcentral lists this ribosomal RNA (508 nucleotides) under Candida albicans. RNAcentral's name for it is "eukaryotic LSU rRNA". The stretch from base 141 to 294 matches the Rfam family "5.8S ribosomal RNA". The record is from RNAcentral. Lineage: Eukaryota; Fungi; Ascomycota; Pichiomycetes; Serinales; Debaryomycetaceae.
UCUGAUUUGCUUAUUGCACCACAUGUGUUUUUCUUUGAAACAAACUUGCUUUGGCGGUGGGCCCAGCCUGCCGCCAGAGGUCUAAACUUACAACCAAUUUUUUAUCAACUUGUCACACCAGAUUAUUACUUAAUAGUCAAAACUUUCAACAACGGAUCUCUUGGUUCUCGCAUCGAUGAAGAACGCAGCGAAAUGCGAUACGUAAUAUGAAUUGCAGAUAUUCGUGAAUCAUCGAAUCUUUGAACGCACAUUGCGCCCUCUGGUAUUCCGGAGGGCAUGCCUGUUUGAGCGUCGUUUCUCCCUCAAACCGCUGGGUUUGGUGUUGAGCAAUACGACUUGGGUUUGCUUGAAAGACGGUAGUGGUAAGGCGGGAUCGCUUUGACAAUGGCUUAGGUCUAACCAAAAACAUUGCUUGCGGCGGUAACGUCUACCACGUAUAUCUUCAAACUUUGACCUCAAAUCAGGUAGGACUACCCGCUGAACUUAAGCAUAUCAAAAGCCGGAGGAA